UACAGAGGUCUCAAGCGUUGUUCGGAUUCACUGGGCGUAAAGGGUGCGUAGGCGGUCGGGUAAGUCUGAUGUGAAACCUCACAGCUUAACUGUGAAACUGCAUUGGAUACUAUCCGGCUUGAGGAAUGGAGGGGAGACUGGAAUACUUGGUGUAGCAGUGAAAUGCGUAGAUAUCAAGUGGAACACCAGUGGCGAAGGCGAGUCUCUGGACAUUUCCUGACGCUGAGGCACGAAAGCGUGGGGAGCGAACAGG
This 253-nucleotide ribosomal RNA is filed under the name uncultured bacterium. RNAcentral's name for it is "partial 16S ribosomal RNA". It matches the Rfam family "Bacterial small subunit ribosomal RNA", at positions 524 to 776 of the family's 1533-position model. The record is from RNAcentral.